UUUGAUCAACUCCCCUUCUUAUUCGGAACAAGUCGUGGUUUCACAAAACGUCACUCUCCUGAAAAUUCUCUGAUUUCAUAACUCCACUCUCUCUCGAUUAUGCCGCCUUGUCGAUCGUCUUCACAAUCUUGCCGUUGCCAGAGUAUCCUCUCAUAAUCUAUCAUCACGGUUCAUCAGCAAAAAACCCAGGUAAAGUUCUUUGAUUUUCUUUUAUGUGUCCUUUAUAUAAUCAGUCGAUUCGGGCCUCGAAAUUAGGGUUCAUCCAGAUCUGUAUUUGGUGCGGUUGGUAAUUACGGUUUAGCUUUAGGGUUUCGAAUUGGAUUUUUUUGUUACAGACAUGUAUCUAUUGUCCUAGUUUGUUCUUCAAACCUAGAUCCUCGAUUGUAGUUUCAAAUUUUUUUGUUACCAGAGAUGUAUCCACCAUCGCUUAUUGUUUGUCUCUUCCACAUGAUUAAUUAUUUAGGUUGCUUGUUGAUUUCCUAAAUGUUGUGUUCUGAGUUGCCUGCAAUUGUUAUGAGCGUUUUGUGUUUGGAGAGUUUUAUAGUUCCUCAGCUUUAGGGAUGACUGGAUUGAGUGUCAUUCCUAUGUGUGGGUGUAUUCACUAGAGCUUUCGCACAAUGUGUAUUCACUAUAGCAUCCACCCGGUGAAACUCUGGUUCCUUCCGCAGCUACUUCGGUUUUCGAAAGAGUAAUGGUGGUUGUGGCACUUUCAUCUGGUGCAAGGUAAAGGAUAACAAUGAUCCAAACGAAGAAGAUGGAGUUCACGUCUACGACGAGCUGGUUUUAACUAACAAAGAAUUGGACUUGAGGAAGCAUAAGUUGAGGGUGAAGAACACGAACCACAAGGACCAUACCCAGUAAUUGGAGGAUAGGAUUUACUGCCUGUAACUAGAUGAGAACGAUCUCUUCCUUGACGAUGGUGAUUGGUGAGAGGUAUUUGCUGGGUGUCAUAAUGGUGAUUUACAUUUACCAUCUUCUAGUAUAAUGAUGAUGGUUGGAAGCUUAUUUUCUAUUGAAGUACUUGUUCGGUACUAGCGUAUUGGUUUAUCAUGCAUUAUUGACUACCAGACUAGUUAAUUAGGUACUUGAUGUAAUAUUUAGGAUUGUUGUAUUCCCUAGCCACUCGUGAUUAUAAGAACCUGAGACUUGUUCAUUAGGGUAUUGAGUAUUGUGAUGAAUGGUCUAGUUGAUUAAGUAUUUCUUGUUAAAUAUGUUUUUGUGUGAAUUUUUAUCACCGUCUUGUUCAACCGGUUUUUGCUGGUUGAACGAUUUCUUCUGCGAGUAAUAACUUAUGCUAUUCAGGUGUAGCCAAGUCAUUUGUUUUUUCUUCUUCUUUGUAAUUGAUGUUAGACCUUGUUUGUGUUACGGACCUUUGCUAUGAAAACAUAGACUUAUGAAUCAUGUCGGCAUGUUAGAAUUGCUCCAGGUACUUAGCAAACGGCAAUCAACAAUGUUGCCUCAAAUACUGACCCUAACCUCAAAACACUACAUUAAAAAACCUGAUACCAGAAUAUGCAGUUGGACAUGUUGUUCCCUGCCAAAAUAACAAAACAUCCUACAAUUAGCUAGUAUAACUUCAAAUUCAGUUAAGGGUCUUACGAUUAAGUGGUACACACCACUAUCUAUGAUAAGUUUAUUCGUCAUACACUUAAGUGGUACACUCCGCUAUCUACAAUAAGUAGUCAGGUUGAUUGGACGGUACUUAAUACUUUGUUCCUACGUACAUGGAGCAGAGCUUUACUCCCAAAACCCUACUAGCCAAUAGUAGACCCCCUAACCGACAAACUAGUCGACAACGGUAGAGAUGAAUUAUGCUUUCAUCUCAUCAAUCCGCAUAGCGAAGAAGGUCUCCAAAUCAGGUAGCUUGUUAAAAAGCAACCUGCAAGCCUUGAUACUCAUCAAUCUCGUCACACCUGGCACACGUGCCAGCACGUCCAUCAUAAAUUGGCGUUUCUCUGCUAUGUCAUCCUGAAGGCACAAGCUAUUACUCAAGG
Molecule: long non-coding RNA, 1994 nt
Filed under: Linum usitatissimum (flax)
Lineage: Eukaryota; Viridiplantae; Streptophyta; Magnoliopsida; Malpighiales; Linaceae
Description: long non-coding RNA (LUSI_LNC006449)
Source: RNAcentral